This 73-nucleotide transfer RNA is filed under the name Fasciola gigantica. Its description in RNAcentral is "tRNA-Gly". It matches the Rfam family "tRNA". From Rfam's summary of the family: Transfer RNA (tRNA) molecules are approximately 80 nucleotides in length. Their secondary structure includes four short double-helical elements and three loops (D, anti-codon, and T loops). Lineage: Eukaryota; Metazoa; Platyhelminthes; Trematoda; Plagiorchiida; Fasciolidae. The record is from RNAcentral.
GGUGGUGGUCGAGUGGUUUAGAGCGUUGGCUUACCAAGUCAGAGGUCCGAGGUUCGAACCCUCGCCAUCACCG